GAGGAAGGGCAGUAAGUUAAUACCUUGCUGUUUUGACGUUACCAACAGAAUAAGCACCGGCUAACUUCGUGCCAGCAGCCGCGGUAAUACGAAGGGUGCAAGCGUUAAUCGGAAUUACUGGGCGUAAAGCGCGCGUAGGUGGUUCAGCAAGUUGGAUGUGAAAUCCCCGGGCUCAACCUGGGAACUGCAUCCAAAACUACUGAGCUAGAGUACGGUAGAGGGUGGUGGAAUUUCCUGUGUAGCGUGAAAUGCGUAGAUAUAGGAAGGAACACCAGUGGCGAAGGCGACCACCUGGACUGAUACUGACACUGAGGUGCGAAAGCGUGGGGAGCAAACAGGAUUAGAUAUCCUGGUAGUCCACGCCGUAAACGAUGUCGACUAGCCGUUGGGAUCCUUGAGAUCUUAGUGGCGCAGCUAACGCGAUA
RNAcentral lists this ribosomal RNA (425 nucleotides) under uncultured Pseudomonadaceae bacterium. RNAcentral describes it as "SSU rRNA". It matches the Rfam family "Bacterial small subunit ribosomal RNA", at positions 444 to 862 of the family's 1533-position model. The record is from RNAcentral. Lineage: Bacteria; Pseudomonadati; Pseudomonadota; Gammaproteobacteria; Pseudomonadales; Pseudomonadaceae.